UACGAAGGGGGCUAGCGUUGCUCGGAAUCACUGGGCGUAAAGGGUGCGUAGGUGGGUCUUUAAGUCAGGGGUGAAAUCCUGGAGCUCAACUCCAGAACUGCCUUUGAUACUGAAGAUCUUGAGUUCGGGAGAGGUGAGUGGAACUGCGAGUGUAGAGGUGAAAUUCGUAGAUAUUCGCAAGAACGCCAGUGGCGAAGGCGGCUCACUGGCCCGAUACUGACGCUGAGGCACGAAAGCGUGGGGAGCAAACAGG
Molecule: ribosomal RNA, 253 nt
Filed under: uncultured bacterium
Lineage: Bacteria
Description: partial 16S ribosomal RNA
Rfam family: Bacterial small subunit ribosomal RNA
Source: RNAcentral